GGGAAUUUGGGCAAUGGUGAGAGCUUGACCCAUCCAUGCAGCGUGCAGAAAGACGGCCCUAUGGGUUGUAAACUGCUUUUAUAUAGUAACAAACGGGGCCUGCGGGGCAGACUGAGUGUACUAUAUGAAUAAGCACCGGCUAACUCCGUGCCAGCAGCCGCGGUAAUACGGAGGGUGCAAUCGUUGUCCGGAUUUAUUGGGUUUAAAGGGUACGUAGGCGGAAGACUAAGUCCGAGGUGAAAGCCCGCAGCUCAACUGCGGAGGUGCGUUGGAUACUGGUUAUCUUGACUGCCGUAGAGGUAGGCGGAAUUCAUGGUGUAGCGGUGAAAUGCAUAGAUACCAUUAGGAACACCGAUAGCGAAGCCAGCUUACUCGCCGGUGACUGACGCUGAGGUACGAAAGCGUGGGGAGCGAACAGGAUUAGUUUCCCUGGUAGUCCACGCUGUAAACGAUGCUCACUCGGUGUAGGAGCCAUACGGCCUUCGUCC
This 488-nucleotide ribosomal RNA is filed under the name uncultured Cytophaga sp. Its description in RNAcentral is "bacterial SSU rRNA". It matches the Rfam family "Bacterial small subunit ribosomal RNA", at positions 358 to 846 of the family's 1533-position model. Lineage: Bacteria; Pseudomonadati; Bacteroidota; Cytophagia; Cytophagales; Cytophagaceae. The record is from RNAcentral.